Long non-coding RNA from Piliocolobus tephrosceles (Ugandan red Colobus), 2633 nucleotides. The record is from Ensembl. NCBI's taxonomy places the organism in Eukaryota, Metazoa, Chordata, Mammalia, Primates, Cercopithecidae.
CUAUGAAAUGAUUCGUUUUUAACCAAAUUUACAUAAAUAUGUAAAAACAUUAAAAAUUUUAUUUAUUUUUAUCUUAUUAUGCAUUUAUUUAUUUACAUAACUAUAUGCAUGCAUGUGUAUUUAUUUAUGCAUUUAUUUAUGCAUUUAUUUGUGCAUUUAUUUGUUCAUUUAUUUGUUCAUUUAUUUGUUCAUUUAUUUUUGUGUAAUAAACAUUUUUUAUUAUAAAAAAUUAAAAAAAAAUACUAUGACUUUUAUAAUUGAUAUAUAUAUAUAUGUAUUAAAUUAAAAAUAAUUAAUUUGAUUAUUCAUGCUAUUUUAAAAUAAUAAAAAGUUAUAAUAUCUACUAGAAUAUUAAAGUAAAUAUUAAUAACAUACUUUUUUUUUUUUUUUUUUUUUUUUUUUUUUUUUUUUUUUUUUUUUUUUGUGCUUCUACACUUUUAUAACUGUUCAAAUUAAAUAACCAUGAAUGAAAAAAGGUGCAUUUUUAUUAUAUUACCAGAUGUUACCAAUAAUUUUAAAGUAAUAAAUAGCAUCCUCAGCAUAUAAAAAUAAUUUUAAUUUAAAUACAUAAAAAGUCAUACGGAAAUAGAGCUUAUGUAUAAAUAUACUCAUAAUAUACAUACAUAUACAUAUAUAUAUAUAUAUAUAUAUAUAUAUAUAUAUAUAUACAUGCCCAUUACUUAUUCGAAUACAGGAUAAAUGUGUUAUAGAAAAAUUAGAAGAAAAAGAGUUUAUUAUUUUAAAAAAAAAGAAAAUAUACUUAACAGGAAACGACAUACUAGAGAUAUUUACUUAUAAACCUGAGCAAUAUGAACAUAUCGAAGAGUUUUAUGAGUAUUUGGAAAGCGGACUGUGUGUAGUUUGUUUAAUAGAGCACCUUGAAGGAGAUACAAUAAAAAAAUUAAACCUUUUAAUUAAGAGUACUUCUAUGUUUAUAAAGGAUGAAAAAUACUUUGAUUGCUUAGAGUACCAAUGUAAUUUAAGAUGUAAAAAUAUUCCUUUUUAUUUUAGCAAAAAUUGUUGGUAUUUCUGUAGAGACUUAAAUUAUUUUUUCCCACCACAUAAUAAAAAUAAUAUAGAAAGAAGUUUAAUAAUAUUAAAACCUGAUGCUAUAGAAAAUAAUAAAAUAAAUGAUAUUAUUAACGACAUAUUGAAUUUUAAUUUGUUAGUGGUUGCUAUAAAAAGAGGUGUGUUGUCUAAUGAGCGUGCCAGUAAAUUGUAUGAAGACUUGAAACAUAAGCCUUACUACCACACUUUGAUAGACUUUAUGACAUCUAAAGUAGGGAUAGUCUGUCUGUUAAUAGAAGGCAUAAACUGCAUUGACCGAGUAAAAAUUUUAUGCGGUCCAUCCUUAUCUAUGGUUAGCUUCAAGGACAUGCCUAAAAGAUGUUUAAAAAAAAAAUACGGAACCAGCGAAAUGCGUAAUGCUGUGCAUGUUCCGAGUGAUGAAAAAAUAGACUAUGAAAUAGAACUAUUUUUUAGAGAGGAAGAUAUGAAUAGUGAAAUUGGUAUUUUAUUAAUAAAAAAAAGUAUAGUAAAUCCAGAUGCUUUAUUUCAGUUAAGAGAUUAUUUUAAUAUGUACGGUUUUAAAAUAUUAGAAGAAAAAGUUAUAAAUAUGGAUAACUCGAUGUUAAUGUAUUUAAUUAGUGAAAAUAAGAGCAAAAUUAAUGAACAAAUUAAUGAACAAAUUAAUGAACAAGUUUGUAGAACAUUGAAGGGUAACAUUGAAAAGUUUGUCAUAAUUUUAGUUCACAGAAUAAAUUGUCUUACAUGCUUAGAAUACUUAAUUGAUUUAAAAAGUGUUAGAGAAUAUAAAAUAAAAAGUCCGAAUUGUAUUUUAAGUAUGUUUAUGUGUUGUAGUUACCAAUUAGGUAAUCGCCACAUAGAUAUUCCUAAUGGUAGUAAACAGAAUUAUAAAAACAUUGGAAAUGAUUAUUAUUAUAAUAGUAACGAAAAUAAUGUAAGUAAUAAAAAUAUAAUUUUUGUGAAAGAUAAAGAUAAAAUAAUAGAAUUAAUAAAACGUUAUUUUAAUUUUGCAAAGUAUAAUGAUACACUUACAGUAGAUAUGAUUCGUGAUUUUUUUUUUUGUAAAAACGUUAAAACUUUUGAAAAAAAAGAAAAAAAUAUAAAAUUAAAUGAUGUAUUACUGGAAUGUUUUACUGAGAUUUGUAAAAAAAAACCAGAUGAAUAUAAUGCGAUAUUUUGGUUAUAUAAUUGGCUGAAACAAAAAGAAAAAGCGAUUAAAAGCGAUAUACAGGUAAAAAAGACAUUUAAACAAAAAGCGAAUGAAAUUGUUAUAUUAGGUCAAAAAAAUAAAGAAGAAAUUGGAAAUGGAGAAUAUUUAAAUAAGGAUAAUUUAAAAGAGGGGGAUAGUAUGGAUGAAAAUAACAAUACAGAUAAGGAUAGCAGUGACAGUAGUAUAAAAAAAAAAGACAAAAACGAAUUUAAUGAACUGGACACACACAACGAUAAAAUAAAUUCUAGUGUGAACAAUAUGAAAAAUGUAAUAAAAAAAAAAAAUGCAAUAAAAGUAAGUAAUGAAAAUUUGAUGUUAAAAAGGAAAAAUAUUAUUUUAAUUCCAGAUAAUAUAUAUACUGAUCCAGAUAAAAAUAAAGAAGACGAAAAAAGUAUUU